AAUUCUCAAUCUUCACAGUUUUGCGCUGGUUGAAGAUUGGAUGUGGGGGUUAUUAAUGUGGGAUCUUCUUGAGGACCUACUCCCCUGAAAUAUAUUAGCUGGAAUACCUUUGCAAAUCCAACUAUCAGUGUGAUAAUUAUCUAUGCUGGAGUUGUUGCUUAAAGGACAUCUGCUUCUAAUUUACUAUCCUUCUGGAUAAUAUUGAAUCA
RNAcentral lists this unclassified non-coding RNA (209 nucleotides) under uncultured Bolbitiaceae. RNAcentral's name for it is "partial internal transcribed spacer 2". Lineage: Eukaryota; Fungi; Basidiomycota; Agaricomycetes; Agaricales; Bolbitiaceae. The record is from RNAcentral.